AGGAUUGGAGAAGCAACCCAAACUUUUGGAUGGUGACGGUAAUGAUUCCAUGCCAAAGCUGGAAGUUGGAGGGGUUGAUUCUUCAAUUUCUGUCCCAGUUAGGGCUGACAAGUCUGAUGCCUGUGUGACAUUGUCAAUGGAAGAAGCUAAAAACCCUGAUCAGCCUUUUGGUGUUUCUAUGGAAGCUGAAACCUUUAAAACAAUGGGUGGAGGAGGAAAACAAGUUUCUGUGAAUGAAAUUCCAGUGGAUGGCGAAAAGAGUG
Molecule: unclassified non-coding RNA, 263 nt
Filed under: Hevea brasiliensis (rubber tree)
Lineage: Eukaryota; Viridiplantae; Streptophyta; Magnoliopsida; Malpighiales; Euphorbiaceae
Source: RNAcentral